GUGGCGAGUGGCGAACGGGUGAGUAAUAUAUCGGAACGUGCCCAGUCGUGGGGGAUAACGCAGCGAAAGCUGUGCUUAAUACCGCAUACGAUCUACGGAUGAAAGCGGGGGAUCGCAAGACCUCGCGCGAUUGGAGCGGCCGAUAUCAGAUUAGCUAGUUGGUGAGGUAAAGGCUCACCAAGGCGACGAUCUGUAGCUGGUCUGAGAGGACGACCAGCCACACUGGAACUGAGACCCGGUCCAGACUCCUACGGGAGGCAGCAGUGGGGAAUUUUGGACAAUGGGCGCAAGCCUGAUCCAGCAAUGCCGCGUGCAGGAUGAAGGCCUUCGGGUUGUAAACUGCUUUUGUACGGAGCGAAAAGACACAUACUAAUACAGGGGGCUCAUGACGGUACCG
Molecule: ribosomal RNA, 397 nt
Filed under: uncultured bacterium
Lineage: Bacteria
Description: bacterial SSU rRNA
Rfam family: Bacterial small subunit ribosomal RNA
Source: RNAcentral